This 1938-nucleotide long non-coding RNA is filed under the name Vulpes vulpes (red fox). RNAcentral describes it as "lncRNA (ENSVVUG00000010130.1)". The record is from RNAcentral. Lineage: Eukaryota; Metazoa; Chordata; Mammalia; Carnivora; Canidae.
CUUGGUUACUGUUUGAUUGUUCUGGCCACCUAUACAAGAUAAUAAAAAUGACUGUAAUUUCUUGACCACCUUUUGUGUUUCAACAUCCACACUGCCUUAAUCCCCAUGAUCAUCCUAUAAAGUAAGUGGACUUUCUUCAUUUUACAGAGGAAGAAGUCGAAUAUCAGAAAGUCGCAGGACUUGCACAAGGUCUCCCUGGAGAGAACAGAGGGCUUGGGAACUGGACCAAGGUUAGUCUUACAUCAAACCCCUACCGUCUUCACCAGUGCGUUACAGAGUUGGAUGGUGCCGAUAGCAUAGUGUCUGCAGGCACACAACAUCCCAAUCUAGUGUGUGACAUCUCCAGCCUGUGUUCCCGAGUGUGACCUCGUGCCCAUUGCUGGCCUCAGAAUCUCCAGCUGGCAUUCUGCAUCGCCAGUUACCUGGGCAGCCUAUGCUGGAAGCAAUGCUUGCUCAUUGUUCUGUAGGGUUGGAGGUUCCUCUGGACAUUUCCCCGGGCAGAGGGCAGGUGGGGCCAGGGUAAGGAUAUAGCGGGUGACAGCUGGCGUAGUAGCUUGAUAGCAGGGACUUGGGCUGACUUGCUUAGUGAGAUGUGUUUAAAUCUGUCCCUGACCUUUUCCCAGGCAUUCUGUCUCCAUCUUGUCUCUGCUUCUGGUGUGAAGGUUCUGGACAAAUUUAAUGAUGAAUAAUGACGAAAACUCAAGAAAUGUCCCCAUGAGAUGUGUGUGUGGUUUUCCCAGUGUGGUGCAUCAGCUUGGACAGGAUACUCUCGGAGGUUCUGAUGGCUACCCAGGACGUCGGGGCCAUUGGCCUCAGACUCGGAAACAGCCCGGUCCUCUGCCUGCCGAGGACCCAUUGCUUGACCUUGGACAAGUCGCUUUCCCUGUCCGGGCAUCACGUCCCUCCUCCCUGAGGUGAGGGAAUCUAUCGCACCACCUCUGAGAUAUCUCCCAAUUUGGAUAAUUGUGUGAUUUUGCUAAGAACACUGGAUCUGAACAGGACAUCUGUGCUUAGCAUGCAACAGAGACCCGAGGAGGAUUUGGCAAGCAGGAUUCAGCCCCAGGGAUGGCCACCGACGGUUUCUAUCGGCACUGACUGAGCCUUUCAGCCGAAGCCCUCCGUCCCUCCCAGGAGCCAUCUGUCUCUUGUAGGCCCCGGCACCAGUGGUGAAGCACCUUUCUUCACUAAGUGCAGCAGGUGUCUUGGAGCACUCGGGACCUGUUUCUAUUCCCUUCUUUGCUGUCAAAGCCAAUCUGUGAAAAUGCCUCUGUGAUUCCAGAAGGAAAACAAGUGCCCAUGAGGAAGAGGUUAUAAAUACAUCCAAUUAUAAAUAUAUCCCAUUAAAAAUAGAUAUUGACGAGCAGCUCCAGACAGAGUUGCGCUUGGCAGGCUCGGCCGAGGAGAAAAAAGUAGCCUAGUGUCCAGAAAGUCAUACAGCUGACUGUUGAACAACAUGGGUUUGAACUGUGUACAUCCACUAAAUAUGUGGAUUUGUUUUGGGAAAUAUAGCCCAGUACUGUAUUUUCCCUUAGGGUUUUCUUAAUUAUAUUUUCUCUUUUCUGGCUUUAUUGUCAGAAUAUGGUGUUGAAUACAUGUAACAUCCAAAAUAUGUAUUAAUUGACUGUUGAUGUGAUUGGUAAGGCUUCCAGUCAAUAGUGGGCUCUUAGUGGUUAUGUUUCUGGGGAAUCAGAACUUAUAUGUAGAUUUUCAACUGUGUGGGCAGAUCGGGGGUGGGGAGUCAGCUCCCCUAACCCCUAUACUGCAUAAGGGUCAGCUGGAAUAUUUUCUUGAACUGUUCCUUAGUAAUAUCUUUGGGGUUGUAGCUGGCUCUUAAUUAGCUACUAAGUCGGGCAGGGUGGUCAGAGAAGGGUUUGGCUUAGAAAGUCCAGUAUAAAUAGAAUUUAUAGGACUCAAUAAAUACUUCCCUUCCCUAUGUCA